RNAcentral lists this ribosomal RNA (274 nucleotides) under uncultured bacterium. RNAcentral's name for it is "partial 16S ribosomal RNA". It matches the Rfam family "Bacterial small subunit ribosomal RNA", at positions 523 to 796 of the family's 1533-position model. The record is from RNAcentral.
AGACGAGGGGCCCGAGCGUUAAUCGGAAUUACUGGGCUUAAAGGGAGCGUAGGCGGCUGCGCAAGCGUCUCGUGAAAGCCCCCGACUCAAUCGGGGAACUGCGGGGCGAACUGUGUGGCUUGAGGCAGGUAGAGGUCGUCGGAACGCUAGGUGGAGCGGUGAAAUGCGUAGAUAUCUAGCGGAACGCCGAAGGAGAAGUCAGGCGACUGGGCCUGUCCUGACGCUGAGGCUCGAAAGCGUGGGUAGCGAACGGGAUUAGAAACCCCAGUAGUCC